CCUACGGGUGGCAGCAGUGGGGAAUAUUGGGCAAUGGGCGCAAGCCUGACCCAGCAACGCCGCGUGAAGGAAGAAGGCUUUCGGGUUGUAAACUUCUAUUGACAGGGAAGAGUGGGAGACGGGACCGGUCGAAUAAGCCACGGCUAACUACGUGCCAGCAGCCGCGGUAAUACGUAGGGGGCAAGCGUUGUCCGGGUGGACGUGGUGUAAGGGGCGUGUAGCCGGGUUGACAAGUCAGAUGUGAAAUCCUGCGGCUUAACCGCAGAACUGCAUUUGAAACUGUUGAUCUUGAGUACUGGAGAGGCAGACGGAAUUCCUAGUGUAGCGGUGAAAUGCGUAGAUAUUAGGAGGAACACCAGUGGCGAAGGCGGUCUGCUGGACAGCAACUGACGAUGAGGCGCGAAAGCGUGGGGAGCAAACAGGAUUAGAUACCCUUGUAGUC
This 442-nucleotide ribosomal RNA is filed under the name uncultured bacterium. Its description in RNAcentral is "partial 16S ribosomal RNA". It matches the Rfam family "Bacterial small subunit ribosomal RNA", at positions 338 to 795 of the family's 1533-position model. The record is from RNAcentral.